AGUGAUCAAGUGAGGAGCAUUGGUUUGGACACAGAUUGAAGGGCAGGCCCCAUGAGGGAUAGAAUGAAUUCAAAGACAGCAAAUGCGGCAAAACCAGAAUACUCAUCUUGACUUUUCCAUGCAGCAAGUUUUCAUUAAAAAUAAAGGAAAAUAAAUACAGAUCACAUUUUCUGUCCUGCAGUUAAAAGCC
Molecule: long non-coding RNA, 190 nt
Organism: Catharus ustulatus (Swainson's thrush)
Lineage: Eukaryota; Metazoa; Chordata; Aves; Passeriformes; Turdidae
Exons: 2
Source: RefSeq, a predicted model, not a curated record